UACGAAGGGGGCUAGCGUUGCUCGGAAUCACUGGGCGUAAAGGGCGCGUAGGCGGCGUUUUAAGUCGGGGGUGAAAGCCUGUGGCUCAGCCACAGAAUGGCCUUCGAUACUGGGACGCUUGAGUAUGGUAGAGGUUGGUGGAACUGCGAGUGUAGAGGUGAAAUUCGUAGAUAUUCGCAAGAACACCGGUGGCGAAGGCGGCCAACUGGACCAUUACUGACGCUGAGGCGCGAAAGCGUGGGGAGCAAACAGG
Molecule: ribosomal RNA, 253 nt
Filed under: uncultured bacterium
Lineage: Bacteria
Description: partial 16S ribosomal RNA
Rfam family: Bacterial small subunit ribosomal RNA
Source: RNAcentral